AUUGAACGCUGGCGGCAGGCCUAACACAUGCAAGUCGAGCGGUAACAGAGAGUAGCUUGCUACUUUGCUGACGAGCGGCGGACGGGUGAGUAAUGCUUGGGAAUAUGCCUUUUGGUGGGGGACAACAGUUGGAAACGACUGCUAAUACCGCAUGAUGUCUACGGACCAAAGUGGGGGACCUUCGGGCCUCACGCCAAAAGAUUAGCCCAAGUGGGAUUAGCUAGUUGGUAAGGUAAUGGCUUACCAAGGCAACGAUCCCUAGCUGGUUUGAGAGGAUGAUCAGCCACACUGGGACUGAGACACGGCCCAGACUCCUACGGGAGGCAGCAGUGGGGAAUAUUGCACAAUGGGCGCAAGCCUGAUGCAGCCAUGCCGCGUGUGUGAAGAAGGCCUUCGGGUUGUAAAGCACUUUCAGUCAGGAGGAAAGGGUGUGUUUUAAUAGAGCAUAUCUGUGACGUUACUGACAGAAGAAGCACCGGCUAACUCCGUGCCAGCAGCCGCGGUAAUACGGAGGGUGCGAGCGUUAAUCGGAAUUACUGGGCGUAAAGCGUACGCAGGCGGUUUGUUAAGCGAGAUGUGAAAGCCCCGGGCUCAACCUGGGAACUGCAUUUCGAACUGGCAAACUAGAGUGUGAUAGAGGGUGGUAGAAUUUCAGGUGUAGCGGUGAAAUGCGUAGAGAUCUGAAGGAAUACCGAUGGCGAAGGCAGCCACCUGGGUCAACACUGACGCUCAUGUACGAAAGCGUGGGGAGCAAACAGGAU
RNAcentral lists this ribosomal RNA (761 nucleotides) under Pseudoalteromonas sp. B145. RNAcentral's name for it is "bacterial SSU rRNA". It matches the Rfam family "Bacterial small subunit ribosomal RNA", at positions 28 to 778 of the family's 1533-position model. Lineage: Bacteria; Pseudomonadati; Pseudomonadota; Gammaproteobacteria; Alteromonadales; Pseudoalteromonadaceae. The record is from RNAcentral.